RNAcentral lists this ribosomal RNA (444 nucleotides) under uncultured bacterium. Its description in RNAcentral is "SSU rRNA". It matches the Rfam family "Bacterial small subunit ribosomal RNA", at positions 26 to 518 of the family's 1533-position model. The record is from RNAcentral.
AGAACGAACGCUGGCGGCAGGCUUAACACAUGCAAGUCGAGCGCCCCGCAAGGGGAGCGGCAGACGGGUGAGUAACGCGUGGGAAUCUACCCAACUCUACGGAAUAGCUUCGGGAAACUGGAAUUAAUACCGUAUACGUCCUACGGGGGAAAGAUUUAUCGGAGUUGGAUGAGCCCGCGUUGGAUUAGCUAGUUGGUGGGGUAAUGGCCUACCAAGGCGACGAUCCAUAGCUGGUCUGAGAGGAUGAUCAGCCACACUGGGACUGAGACACGGCCCAGACUCCUACGGGAGGCAGCAGUGGGGAAUAUUGGACAAUGGGCGAAAGCCUGAUCCAGCCAUGCCGCGUGAGUGAUGAAGGCCUUAGGGUUGUAAAGCUCUUUCAGUGGGGAAGAUAAUGACGGUACCCACAGAAGAAGCCCCGGCUAACUUCGUGCCAGCAGCCGC